AUUGAACGCUGGCGGCAUGCUUUACACAUGCAAGUCGAACGGCAGCGCGGGCUUCGGCCUGGCGGCGAGUGGCGAACGGGUGAGUAAUACAUCGGAACGUGCCCAGUAGUGGGGGAUAGCUCGGCGAAAGCCGGAUUAAUACCGCAUACGACCUGAGGGUGAAAGCGGGGGAUCUUCGGACCUCGCGCUAUUGGGGCGGCCGAUGGCAGAUUAGCUAGUUGGUGGGGUAAAGGCCUACCAAGGCGACGAUCUGUAGCUGGUCUGAGAGGACGACCAGCCACACUGGGACUGAGACACGGCCCAGACUCCUACGGGAGGCAGCAGUGGGGAAUUUUGGACAAUGGGCGAAAGCCUGAUCCAGCAAUGCCGCGUGUGUGAUGAAGGCCUUCGGGUUGUAAAGCACUUUUGGCGGGAACGAAAAGGACUGUGCAAAUACCACGGUUCGAUGACGGUACCCGCAGAAUAAGCACCGGCUAACUACGUG
This 484-nucleotide ribosomal RNA is filed under the name uncultured bacterium. Its description in RNAcentral is "partial 16S ribosomal RNA". It matches the Rfam family "Bacterial small subunit ribosomal RNA", at positions 29 to 507 of the family's 1533-position model. The record is from RNAcentral.